UGCAGUUUGAAUCUCUUGGCUUCAUAAGCUGAUAUUGCACUUUUGUUAUCGGGUAGAUCGCAACAAACUUUCAGAAGAGAGCUGAGAGAAUUCAUCUUCAUGUAUGGACAAGAUGCACAACCACCGUGAAGAGAACAUCCCUCCCCACUGGAAACUCCAGGUACUACAGGUAAAUUGAUCUCACCAAGUACAACCGAUUUUUGGCCUUGGGAUGAACUUGAUGAUGUCCUUG
This 232-nucleotide unclassified non-coding RNA is filed under the name Hevea brasiliensis (rubber tree). The record is from RNAcentral. Lineage: Eukaryota; Viridiplantae; Streptophyta; Magnoliopsida; Malpighiales; Euphorbiaceae.